GAUGGUAUAGCUCAGGGGUAGAGUGCAUGCUUAGCAUGUGUGAGGUCCUGGGUUCAAUCCCCAGUACCUCCA
Molecule: transfer RNA, 72 nt
Filed under: Camelus bactrianus (Bactrian camel)
Lineage: Eukaryota; Metazoa; Chordata; Mammalia; Artiodactyla; Camelidae
Also listed under: 2 other names
Rfam family: tRNA
About the family: Transfer RNA (tRNA) molecules are approximately 80 nucleotides in length.
Source: Rfam by way of RNAcentral